GGGUGAUUAGCUCAGCUGGCUAGAGUGCUUGCUCGACACGCAAGAAGUCGGUGGUUCAAGUCCACUAUCACCCACCA
Molecule: transfer RNA, 77 nt
Filed under: Clostridiaceae bacterium
Lineage: Bacteria; Bacillati; Bacillota; Clostridia; Eubacteriales; Clostridiaceae
Also listed under: 1 other name
Description: tRNA-Val
Rfam family: tRNA
About the family: Transfer RNA (tRNA) molecules are approximately 80 nucleotides in length.
Source: RNAcentral